This 75-nucleotide transfer RNA is filed under the name Bacillota bacterium. RNAcentral describes it as "tRNA-Val". It matches the Rfam family "tRNA". Rfam says of the family: Transfer RNA (tRNA) molecules are approximately 80 nucleotides in length. Lineage: Bacteria; Bacillati; Bacillota. The record is from RNAcentral. RNAcentral also lists the same sequence under 1 other name.
GGGCGUAUAGCUCAGCGGGAGAGCGCCUGACUCACAUUCAGGAGGUCACUGGUUCGAAACCAGUUACGCCCACCA